CUACGGGAGGCUGCAGUGAGGAAUAUUGCACAAUGGGGGGAACCCUGAUGCAGCAACGCCGCGUGGAGGAUGACGCAUUUCGGUGUGUAAACUCCUUCUAUAUGUCAAGAAAAUGACGGUAGCAUAUGAAUAAGCACCGGCUAACUCCGUGCCAGCAGCCGCGGUAAUACGGAGGGUGCAAGCGUUACUCGGAAUCACUGGGCGUAAAGGACGCGUAGGCGGGUUGGGAAGUCAGGUGUGAAAUCCUACAGCUUAACUGUAGAACUGCACUUGAAACUUCUAAUCUAGAGUAUGGGAGGGGGAGAUGGAAUUAGUGGUGUAGGGGUAAUAGCCGUAGAUAUCACUAGGAAUACCUAAAGCGAAGGCGAUCUCCUGGAACAUUACUGACGCUAAGGCGUGAAAGCGUGGGGAGCAAACAGGAUUAGAUACCCCUGUAGUC
This 439-nucleotide ribosomal RNA is filed under the name uncultured bacterium. RNAcentral describes it as "partial 16S ribosomal RNA". It matches the Rfam family "Bacterial small subunit ribosomal RNA", at positions 339 to 795 of the family's 1533-position model. The record is from RNAcentral.